This is a non-coding RNA of Oryctolagus cuniculus (rabbit), 9183 nucleotides long. Lineage: Eukaryota; Metazoa; Chordata; Mammalia; Lagomorpha; Leporidae. The record is from RefSeq and is a predicted model, not a curated record.
GGUCCUGAGCUGGGAGAGUCCUCGCAUGAACCCCCCAGCCGGCCCCUCCCCCAGCCGGCCCUGCUGAGCUGCCCAGUGACCAGAGGGCCCACGCCAGCUCCCUGCCUCUCUCUGCUGCUUCUGGUUCUUUCCACCUGCUUUUUCCCCAAGGCCUGGCUGUGCUCCUGCACUGGCAGAGGGUUGUAGGGCUGGGAGGAAGCUCAGGUCUCCUGCAGUUUGCAGAGGGCAGGAGUCACUGGGCAAGGCCCUAGGGCUAUGGUGCAGGUUGCCCCAAGGGUUGGGGCCCCAGGCCUGACUCGGUGGCUGUUGUGAAGGGCCUGUGCCCUAAGCUAUGUGAUGUGCAGGGUGGACUGGCAGUCCCUCCCCUAGGGCCACAGAGUCGGAGGUGGGGGGAGGGGAGAUGGCAGGAUGGACAGGAGGGGUUGUUGGGGGGAGAUGGCUGCAUUGGAGCCAACGUGGCUGCCUCCGAGGCCAGUGCAGGGCACGGGAUCAGGGGCUCCAGGGGCGUGGGCAGCUUGAAUGCCUGUAGGAAGGAUUUCUGCUGUCACAUGGCCCAGCUCUGAUUUGCUCACCCCCAGCCCCUGGGAGGGAGGGACACAGGCCAAAGAUGCAAGUGUCAGUGGUGGGGACCCCCCUCCACAGCCUCCAGGACGCCUGCAGCCAGGAUGACCAUGGAAGGGUACUGGCUGGGGGCCCCGGGGGAGUACCACCUCAGCUGGAUGGGUGCCCCAGCAUUGGUAAUGCCCACCCGCGUGCGGCUUCCUCAGCCUUUCCAAGCCUCCUUGCAGCUUCUGGGGAAGACUUUAACCAAAAGUCAGAGUGCAAGACAAACCCAGAAACUCAGUGUGAAUGAAAAACAACCAUGUGGAAGAUAAGGGAAGAAGCUGUAAAAUGCAGGCGCGGAUCCCCUGACGCGUCGCGGGUGACUUGGUGCUUGUGUGUGACCAUCACAAAGAGCACACUCCCAGAAGCAAAGACAGGACAGGUGGGUGACUGGAUGUGGCCUCCUGGUGCCAUCAGGAGGCUGUGCCAGUGCAGCACAGCACACUGUCUUCCAGUGGCCACAUCUAGAAGCAAGAUGCACUCAGCUGUCAGCUGUGUACCGCAGCUGGUGUCACAGUCACUCGGCGUCAGCCACCUCCAGCUGUGCAUCACAGUCACUCAGCGUCAUCCGCCCCCAGCUGUGUGUCAUAGUCGCUCAGCGUCAGCCGCCCCCAGCUGUGCGUCACAGUCACUCAGCGUCAGCCGCCCCCAGCUGUGCGUCACAGUCACUCAGCGUCAGCCCCCAGCUGUGCGUCACAGUCACUCAGCGUCAGCCGCCCCCAGCUGUGCGUCACAGUCACUCAGCGUCAGCCGCCCCCAGCUGUGCAUCACAGUCACUCAGCGUCAGCCCCCAGCUGUGCGUCACAGUCACUCAGCGUCAGCCCCCAGCUGUGCAUCACAGUCACUCAGCGUCAGCCGUCCCCAGCUGUGUGUUAGUCACUCAGUGUCAGCCGUCCCCAGCUGUGCAUCACAAUUGCUCAGCGUCAGCCAUCACCAGCUGUGUGUUAGUCGCUCAGCGUCAGCCCCCAGCUGUGUGUUAGUCGCUCAACGUUAGCCAUCCCCAGCUGUGCGUCACAGUCACUCAGUGUCAGCUGUCCCCAGCUGUGCGUCACAGUCACUCAGCGUCAGCUGUCCCCAGCUGUGCAUCACAGCGGCUCAGUGUCAGCCCCCAGCUAUGCAUCACAGUCACUCAGCGUCAGCCCCCAGCUGUGUGUCACAGUCACUCAGUGUCAGCUGCCCCAGCUGUGUAUUACAGUCGCUCAGCAUCAGCCAUCCCCAGCUGUGUCACAGUCGCUCAGUGUCAGCCAUCCCCAGCUGUGCGUCACAGUCACUCAGCGUCAGCCGUCCCUAGCUGUGUGUCACAGCAGCUCAGUGUCAGCCCCCAGCUAUGCGUCACUGUCGCUCAGCGUCAGCUGCCCCAGCUGUGUGUCACAGUCGCUCAGCGUCAGCCAUCCCCAGCUGUGUGUCACAGUCGCUCAGCGUCAGCCGUCCCCAGCUGUGUGUCACAGUCGCUCAGCGUCAGCUGCCCCAGCUGUGUGUCACAGUUGCUCAGUGUCAGCCAUCCCCAGCUGUGCGUCACAGUCGCUCAAUGUCAUCCGCCCCAGCUGCUGGUGUGUGCCAUCCUGUGGCUGGUAGUGCCCUGGGUGUGUUUACACGCACACGGCCAUGUGCACGUAGGGCUGUGCUGUGCUACAGCAUGAGGCAGCUCUGGUGUCACUCGGCAAAGGGACUUUUUCAUUCCAUUAUAAUCUCGUGGAUCACAUACAAAACUGUAUGUACUGUUUUCAGAACUUAAGUGGUUAUACUGAUGGUGAAAUGACAAGAUUCUACUUUUUAAAAUUUAUUUAUUUUUUAAAGAUUUAUUUAUCUAUUUGAAAGGCAGAGUCACACAGAGGCAGAGAGAGAGAGGGAGGUCUUCCAUCUGCUGGUUCACUCCCUAAAUGGCCGCACAGCCAGAGUUGCGCUGAUCUGAAGCCAGGAGCCAGGUCUCCCACAUGGGUGCAGGGGCCCAAGGACUUGGGCCAUCUUCUGCUUUCCCAGGCCAUAGUAGAGAGCUGGAUUGGAAGUGGAGCAGCAGGGACUUGAACCGGUGCCCAUAUGGGAUGCUGGCACUGCAGGCAGCGGCUUUACCCACUAUGCCAUAGUGCCAGCCCCUAAUUUUAUUUUUUAAAGGAUUUAUUCAUUUGAAGAGUUAGAGAGGGAGAAAGAGAAAUCUUGCAUCCAUUGGUUGACUCCAAAUGGCUACAACGGCCAGGGCUGGGCCAGGCCAAAGCCAGGAGCCUGAAGCUGUCAGAAGAGACAGAGCAUGCAGCCACAGCCAGGCCAGGUCUGCUCGGAAGGGUGAAGCCUGGGGGGCUCCGUCCCAGGUGCAGGCGCAGCAGAGAGCGAGCCCCUCCCUUACAGACUAGCGGUUCUUAUAGCACAGAGUGGCGGGAAGGGGCCUGGGGGUCUGAGCUAAAGCUGGGCUGCCGAGAUGGAGGGGGAGCUCAGGCCGGAUGGCGAGGUCCUGGGAGGUCACAGGGUGAGCUGGGAGGGGCUGGGCUGGGGCUGGCUGGGGCUGGACCCUGGGGCCGAGCUGCUGAGCUGGGAGAGGGGAGAGAGCUUGGGAGGAGCUGACGGCUGGACUCCUCCGCUGGUGGAGAGCCCAGCAGUGCAGGUGUGGGGGCUGUGCUAGCAGGUGGAGAAAUGGGGCCUGCUUGCUGUGUGCGGGAGAGAGGUCAGCACAGACCCAAAGCUCCUUGACCUCGCUCCAUCAGAAACUCCAUCCGGGUCUCCCAUGUGGGUGCAGGUGCCCAGGCACUUGGGCCAUCUUCUGCUGCUUUCCCAGGCUCACUGACUGGGAGCUGGAUUAGAAGUGGAGCAGCCGGGACUGGAAUUGGUGCCCACAUGGGAUGCUGGCAUUGCAGGCGGCAGCUUAGCCGGCUGUGCUACAAUGCUGGCCCCGAGAUUCUACACUUAAAUCAAGAAAAAGUGAGGGAAGAGCUGUUGGCAUUAGAAGUGUGUUUCUUAAAAAAUUCAGUAGAGGGGUUGGAAGAUAAAAGUCAAAAAAACUCCCAGGAAGAAUAACCAGAAGACAAAGAAAGAAAGUAGACGGAUCCAGGAGGUUCCAGCUGCAACCGUGGGAUGAAGAUUGAAGAUGAAGGAGAGUGGGAGGGAGCUGUCAGCUCGGAGCCCCGAGCGUGCUGCAGGAUUCACUGAUGGACUCGACGGCGCCCCCACGAGGCCCAGCGCUGGUGCAGAGUCCACGGAUUCACAGGAAGAUGCUCAAACGUACGCCAUCAUUGAAUAAAACAGAAAAGGGCGGCCGUGGAGGACGAGGAUGUGAGGAGCAAGCUAGCGUCUCUGGGAGGGCAGUGCGGACCUCGCCGUGGGUGUGGGGACGAGCUGCUGACGGCUGUCGGAGAGCGGGGGUGUGGGAACGGGCACAGGGAGCCGGGCUCCCCCAGAGAAACAGGCGAGCGGUUGGCUCCUGUCCUGAGGGAAGGUGGAGCAGACGAGCUUGUCCGUCCUGCUGGGCAGUGCGUGUGGUCUCCCGGCACGUCUGGUAAGCAGCCCCGUAGGAGGACCCCCAAAAGCUGGAAAGCAGGCUGGCUGGGACCUCAGGCCAUGUGGCGAGGUUUGAGGUUCUGCUUUGGCCUCACGCAGCCCAGCCUGGGAGCUGAGGAGCCAGCAACCCAGGGGCGCCAAGAAUGACCGGAAACACUGGCCUGCCUGUGCCCACCAGCGGGCAGGCCGAGUGGGCAGCAGGGCCUUCAUCCCUGCAGACGGCAGCAGCCCCCUAGGGAGCCCUGGGGAAUCUGGGUAUCAGUGGAGACCCCCCGAGGGGCUGCCACGCCAGCUGUGAAGAGCAGAGCCCCCUCCCAGCUGUCCAGGGCGGCUCCAGCUGGGGUGAGGAGGUGGUGGCCCCUCCUCCCGAGGGCCUGGAGCAGGGCUGGGAGCCUGUUUCCUGCCAGGGCCCUGUGGUAUUUAUAGCAUCAUUCGUGGGCCACACAAAGUUGUCAGCUUAAGAAUGAGCUUGCUCUAGACUUAGGGAAUUCCAAGUGCCACCUGCAGUUGCCUUGGCAAAGGCCAGACCAAGCGACUCCGAGGGCCUGACACAGCCAGCACGGGCUGGGCUGGCCCCAGUCCUGUCCCCAAUGGAGGGGAGGACGCUCGGGUCGGAAUGGCUGGAACGUCUCUAAUUGGACAAAUGAGUGACCGAGAGAUCCAUUUUGUGAGGGCGGCACUGCCCCGAGCAACCACAGACAGAAUCCACGCCGAGACAGCAGAGUGAAGCUUCUGAGGUGUGAAGACACGUGAACGCUCCGCCCCCGGAGGGCAGCUCGGAUCACAGCGGGUUUCUUGCCAGAAGCCUGGACAGCAGAGGGAGCGGCGGCAUUCCUCGAUGCCGGGCCUUGCAGGGGGAGCACACAGAAGCACGGCCAGGAAAUGGACCAGCUCCUGGAGCCCCCGGCCGCUGCGCGUCGCAGGUGUGGUGGGUGGCUUGGGUAGCCCUAGACCUAGCACAGAAAUUCAUCAUCUAAUUUGAAAACUGCCAGUGCUUGGUUUCGUGGUGCAGCAGUUUGAACAGCAGCUUGCCACGCCAGUGUCUCAUAUCGGAGUGCUGGUAGGCCUGGCUGCUCCGCCUCUGAUCCAGUUCCCUGUAAUGCACCUGGGAAAGCAGCAGAGGAUGGCCCAAGUCCUUGGUUCCCUGCCACACACAUGCGAGACCAGGAUGGAGUGUCCAGCCCUUGGCUUUGGCCUGGAUGAACCCUGACUGUUGUGGCAUUUGGGUAAGGAGCCAGAGGAUGGGAGACCUCUUGCCUUCUGUCCCUCUCUUUCAUUCUUUCAAAUAACUAACUAACUAAAUCUUUCUUAAAAAGAUUUAUUUAUUUUAUUUGAAAGGCAGAGAUAAGAGACAGAGAGAGGGAGACACAGAGAUCUUCCAUCUGCAGGUUCACCCCUCAAAUGGCCGCAACCAAAGCCAGGAGCCAGGAGCCUCUUCUGGGUCUCCUGUGUGGGUGCAGGGGCCCAUGCACGCGCUAUCUUCCUCCACUUUCCCAGGAGCAUUAGCAGGGAGCUGGAUCUGAAGUGGAGCAGCCAGGACAUGAGCCGGCGCCCACAUGGAAUGCUGGCGUCGCAAGGCAGCAGCUUAACCUGCCACGCCAUGGCACCAGCCCCUAACUAAACUCUUCUUUAAAAAUAUGAAAACUUCCAUAAAAGAUUUCUUCAGGCCCAGAUGAUUUCACCAGGAAGUCUUAGCAAACAUCUAAAGAAUUAGCACCAUUUCUCUACAACCUCUUAUCUCAUUCUACACAAUAUCUUCCAGAAAAACAGGGCGAGAACACGUUCUGACUCAGUUUCUGAAGGCAGUAUCACCCUGAUACAAAAUCAGAUGAAAACAGUGUAAAUAAAAUAGAGUCACAAAGCCCUUUCUCAGAAUGCUGGCCAAUAGCAUUCCGUAACGUAUGAGAAGUAUACACCACGACAGUGGGGUUGACUCCCAGGAUGCUAGGUUGGCUCGGUAUUAAAAAAUGGAACCCAUCAUAUUAACAAGCAAAGGGAGGAAAAACCUCAUGAUCCUAUCAGCCAGCAUAGAAAAGGCGUUUGAGAAAAUGCAACACCCGUUCCUGAUAAAAACCCAGAAAACAAGAUAAAGGAACAAGGACUAUGUGAACACCAAAGUUUAAAAAUGCCUUUUCACUUACAGUUGCCAAAAACUGAAACACUUAAGUAUAAAUGUUACAAAGCAUGUAUGGUGUUUGCAUGCUGAAAAGGACACAGCACUGAUGGAAACCAGCAGAGAUCUGAAUGGAUGGAGAGACAUACCAUGUUCAUGGAUUGGAAGACCCAGCCAAGUUCGUGUGUCAGUUCCCUCCAAGUUCAUGUAAAGUGAUUAAAAGUGAAUGAUACUAGCCAGCACCGUGGCUCACUAGGCUAAUCCUCUGCCUGCGGUGCUGGUACCCCGGGUUCUAGUCCUGGUUGGGGCUCCAGGUUCUGUCCUGGUUGCUCCUCUUCCAGUCCAGCUCUCUGCUGUGGCCCGGGAAGGCAGAGGAGGAUGGCCCAAGUGCUUGGGCCCUGUACCCGCAUGGGAGACUAGGAGGAAGCACCUGGCUCCUGGCUUCGGAUCAGCGCAGUGUGUCGGCCGUGGCAGCCAUUUAGGGGGUGAACCAACGGAAGGCAGACCUUUCUCUCUGUCUCUCUCUCUCACUUUCUAACUGCCUAUCCAAAAGAAAAAAGUGAAUGAUAACUAUUCCUGUCAAGCUCUCGAUAAAAUUUUUUUGUAGCUGUAAACAAGAUUAUUUUAAAAUCUGUAUGAGCAGGAAAAACAAUACUUAAAAUCAUUUUUUAAAAAGAUUUAUUUAUUUAUUUGAAAGAGUUAUAGAGAGGUAGAGGUAGAGAGAGAGAGCGAGAGGUCUUCCAUCACUGGUUCACUCUCCAGAUGGCUGCAAUAGCCAGAGCUGCACCUAUCCAAAGCCAGGAGCCAGGAGCUUCUUCCAGGUCUCCCACUUGAGUACAGAGGCCCAAGGACUUGGGCCAUCUUCCACUACUUUCCCAGGCCAUAGCAGGGAGCUGGAUUGGAAGUAGAGCUGCUGGGACUUGAACCAGUGCCCAUAUGAGAUGCCAGUGCUGCAGGUGGUGGCUUUACCCUCUAUGCCACAGCACCGGCCCCUAAAAACUCUUAAAGCUCAACGGUAAAAGAGCAAUCAAUUAGAACAUGGAUAAAAGAAAGACAUUUCCUGGAAGAGAAUGCACAGGCGGCAGAUAAGCACAUGAAAUCUGCCAACCGUUGGAGACGCGGACGUUAAAACCGCAGUGAGCCGUCAGGACACAGACACGGAAGGGCUCGGUGGGACAGUGAGAGCCCCAGGCGAGGCCAGGACCCAGGGCCCGGAGGAGUGGAGUCCCUCAGGUUGCUGGUGACGGUGGGAAACAGUGCAGCUGUUGAGGAAAAGGGUUUGUCAGCUUCUCAGAAACCCACACGUAGCUGCACUGCUGUGGGGCGCGGCAGGAGGUGGCCUCGGGCGGCGGGGAAAGGGCGCACACUGCCCUGCGGCGUGCAAAUUUACCAUCAUGUCAAAGUGAAAACUUAACUAUAAAGAAAGGCUGUGCGUGAACAGACUGCUGAUUUCUUUACUGCUUGGCCCGGCAGUGACGUGGAAGAUGUGUGACAAAGUGACACAAGCACUAAGUGGCGAUGAAGGAGACUGGCUCGGCUGUGAGGAAGAGGGGAGGGAGGCGGCAGCGGUGAUGUAACCGGGAGUUAGCAGGUGACGCCCCAGCUGAUGGGACCUGGGAAUUAGACGCCUGGCCUGGAUCCAGAGGAGCAGCCUCGGCGAGGCUGCCUCUUGCUCGUGGCUUCCAGGGUUGCCCUGGCUGGGAUGGGAGAUGGUUGGUUUUUCUGUAUGAAAAAGCCUUUUACGACUGCACUUUCUGGCGUUGAUAAAAUGGAAGCAGUGACAGUGGUGAGGAGACAGCCCCCACACUCCGGGCGGCCUCCUGGAAGGUGCCCUGUGUUUGUGACGGACGUGACCAGUGGAGUAGAGAGGGAAUUCGCCCCUGUCUUUGGAGUGCCUGCUGCGUGCGGCUGCAGCGUUCACGUGGUUCCCGGGGUGCAGUGGCCACGAAUCACAUCUCUGAGUCCAAAUCCGAGGAGCUUCUUGGUGAGCUGCUGUUGUUUAUCAGUGUGUUUAAGCUGAACGUGUAAUCACGUCCGUGGCUCAGAAGUCCGGAGUUCAGACUGGUCCCUGGUGAGAUGUGGUCGUUCCUCUGGGAAGAACCUCAGGCACCAGUUUCUUUUCUGUUUUUCUUUUUGUUAAUUUACGUAUUUGAAAGGCACGGGGAGAGAGAUUUUCCACGCACUGGUUUAUUGUCUAGAUGGCUGUGGCUGCCAGGCCAGGUCUGGGCCGGGCUGAAGCCAGGAGCCCAGAACCCCACGGUGGUCUCCCACAUGGACGUCAGGAGCCCAGAUACUUGGGCCGUGUUUCGCUAACUUCAGGCGCAUAGCAGGAAGCUGGAUCCAGCUGAACCUACUGUGCCACAGCGCCUGCUCCUGCCCUUGCUCCUUUAUUUAUUUUUUUUUUAAAGAAUUUAUUUAUUAUUUGAGAGGCAGAGUUACAGAGAGAGAGAGGGAGGGAGGGAGAAAGAAGUCUUCCAUGCACUGGUUCACUCCCCAAAUGGCUGCAACGGCCGGAGCUGAUCUGAAGCCAGGAGCUCCAGGAAGACCCGGGUCUCCCGUGCGGGUGCAGGGGCCCAAGGACUUGAGCCAUCCAGGCCAUAGCAGAGAGCUGGAUUGAAAGUGGAUCAGCUGCAGGCCGGUGCCGUGGCUCACUAGGCUAAUCCUCCGCCUUGUGGCACCGGCACACCGGGUUCUAGUCCCGGUCGGGGUGCCGGAUUCUGUCCCGGUUGCCCCUCUUCCAGGCCAGCUCUCUGCUGUGGCCCGGGAGUGCAGUGGAGGAUGGCCCAAGUGCUUGGGCCCUGCACCCCAUGGGAGACCAGGAGAAGCACCUGGCUCCUGCCAUCGGAUCAGCGCGGUGCGCCGGCCGCAGCGUGCUGGCCGCGGCGGCCAUUGGAGGGUGAACCAGCAGCAAAAAAGGGAAGACCUCUCUCUGUCUCUCUCUCACUGUCCGCUCUGCCUGUCAAAAAAAAAAAAAAAAGAAA